Triplophysa rosa is the source of this 546-nucleotide long non-coding RNA. RefSeq lists it as uncharacterized. The record is from RefSeq and is a predicted model, not a curated record. The transcript has 3 exons. NCBI's taxonomy places the organism in Eukaryota, Metazoa, Chordata, Actinopteri, Cypriniformes, Nemacheilidae.
CCUGACACAGAGGGAGGAAUCGGGUGAAAGAUCAGUGAAGCGAGCAUGGACAUGUUGCUAGCGUGACGUUCCCUACGAGAGAAAGUAGAGAGGGAUGGAAAAUGAGGAGGAUGACAAGGUUCCACCCACUCGUCCAUUAGCUCAACCAGCGACCGCUUCCAUCAUCUGCUGGAACAAAGUGUGAGGCGGAGAGAAGAGAGAAUGUGUGAUGGACAGAGAUAACACAGCACCGCCUCUCUUUAACUCCACCAUCUGUUCUUCUCCAGUGAGGAGAAAACACAGCGCAUACGCGUGUGUGUGGCUGAUGUGACCACAAUCUUUUAUUACGCUCCUCCUUCAACACGCUCAACAUACUGAUUGUACGAGCCAAUUUUCCCUCAUGAAAUCAUCUCUCCAGCCUUUCUGUGUAAUGAAGAACAGAUGUGAUCCGGUCUCUCGGGAGAUCGCUGGACUGGUCAUGAGGAGAGCUGCCAAAACCCAAGAAACCUGAGAGAAACCCCAAAACACAUUCUACUUUUCACUUUUUGUGUUUAGAGUGAGACGUUU